This 433-nucleotide ribosomal RNA is filed under the name uncultured bacterium. Its description in RNAcentral is "partial 16S ribosomal RNA". It matches the Rfam family "Bacterial small subunit ribosomal RNA", at positions 29 to 507 of the family's 1533-position model. The record is from RNAcentral.
AACGAACGCUGGCGGCAGGCCUAACACAUGCAAGUCGAGCGAGGACUUCGGUCCUAGCGGCGGACGGGUGAGUAACGCGUGGGAACGUGCCCUUUGCUUCGGAAUAGCCCUGGGAAACUGGGAGUAAUACCGGAUGAGCCCUUUGGGGGAAAGAUUUAUCGGCGAAGGAUCGGCCCGCGUUGGAUUAGGUAGUUGGUGGGGUAAUGGCCUACCAAGCCGACGAUCCAUAGCUGGUUUGAGAGGAUGAUCAGCCACACUGGGACUGAGACACGGCCCAGACUCCUACGGGAGGCAGCAGUGGGGAAUCUUAGACAAUGGGGGAAACCCUGAUCUAGCCAUGCCGCGUGAGCGAUGAAGGCCUUAGGGUUGUAAAGCUCUUUCAGCUGGGAAGAUAAUGACGGUACCAGCAGAAGAAGCCCCGGCUAACUCUGUG